CGGAUUGGAGUCUGCAACUCGAUUCCAUGAAGCUGGAUUCGCUAGUAAUCGCGCAUCAGCCAUGGCGCGGUGAAUACGUUCCCGGGCCUUGUACACACCGCCCGUCAAGCCAUGGGAGCCGGGGGUGCCUGAAGUACGUGACCGCGAGGAGCGUCCUAGGGCAAAAACUGGUGACGUGGGGCUAAGUCGUAACAAGGUAAC
RNAcentral lists this ribosomal RNA (201 nucleotides) under uncultured bacterium. RNAcentral describes it as "partial 16S ribosomal RNA". It matches the Rfam family "Bacterial small subunit ribosomal RNA", at positions 1294 to 1500 of the family's 1533-position model. The record is from RNAcentral.